This 823-nucleotide ribosomal RNA is filed under the name Hyloscirtus tapichalaca. Its description in RNAcentral is "partial 12S ribosomal RNA". It matches the Rfam family "Bacterial small subunit ribosomal RNA", at positions 332 to 1493 of the family's 1533-position model. The record is from RNAcentral. Lineage: Eukaryota; Metazoa; Chordata; Amphibia; Anura; Hylidae.
UAAACCCCUGAUGGGGUAAGGAGCUGGUAUCAGGCACAAUAAUUAGCCCAAAACACCUAGCUAUGCCACACCCACAAGGGAACUCAGCAGUAAUUAAUAUUGGACAUAAGCGCCAGCUUGAUUCAGUUAAAGUAAAAAGGGCCGGCAAAUCUGGUGCCAGCCGCCGCGGUUACACCAUAUGGCCCAAAUUGGCCCCAACACGGCGUAAAGCGUGAUUAAAGUUUUACCCCAUUGUAGCUAAACUACUAUUGAGCUGUGACACGCCUUUAGCUAGGAAACCCAAAAACGAAAGUUGCUACAUACAAACCAACUUGAAUUCACAACAGCUAGGACACAAACUAGGAUUAGAUACCCUACUAUGCCUAUCUAUAAACUCUUAACUUACACCUAAAUCGCCUGGGAACUACGAGCAAAGCUUAAAACCCAAAGGACUUGACGGUACCCCAAAUCCCCCUAGAGGAGCCUGUCCUUUAAUCGAUAAUCCCCGUUCAACCUCACCAUUUUUAGUCAAUCAGUCUGUAUACCUCCGUCGUCAGCUUACCACGUGAGCGUCUCAAAGUAAGCCCAAUGUUUACACACAUCAAUACGUCAGGUCAAGGUGCAACUAAUAAAAUGGGAAGAGAUGGGCUACACUCUCUAAGAUAGAACACACGGAAAACUAACUGAAAACUAGUUUAAAGGUGGAUUUAGAAGUAAAAAAGAACUAGAGAGUUUUUUUUAACCCGGCACUGGGGUGUGUACACACCGCCCGUCACCCUCUUUGAAGCCCCCCCCCAACAGUACUUAACAAACUAACGCACAGUAGAAGAGGCAAGUCGUAACA